RNAcentral lists this ribosomal RNA (254 nucleotides) under uncultured bacterium. RNAcentral describes it as "partial 16S ribosomal RNA". It matches the Rfam family "Bacterial small subunit ribosomal RNA", at positions 524 to 776 of the family's 1533-position model. The record is from RNAcentral.
UACGUAGGGUGCGAGCGUUAAUCGGAAUUACUGGGCGUAAAGGGUGCGCAGGCGGUCUCGUAAGCUGGGUGUGAAAGCCCCGGGCUUAACCUGGGAAUGGCAUUCAGGACUGCGAGGCUUUGAGUGUGGCAGAGGGAGGUGGAAUUCCACGUGUAGCAGUGAAAUGCGUAGAUAUGCGGAGGAACACCGAUGGCGAAGGCAGUCCCCUGGGCCUGCACUGACGCUCAUGCACGAAAGCGUGGGGAGCAAACAGG